GACAGAAAAUUCUUUCAAGAUCUUGAAAAUUGUUUUGGGACAAGAAGAUCCUUUCCUGCACAACUCUACCAAACACCUGUCUACAAGCUGUAGAGAGCUGUAUACUGUGUUACUUGGCUGAACAAACACAUUCAGUGACAGACCUUGGCAAGAGCUGCAAAGAUGUUCUUGAGAAUGGCAUGAAUAAAUAUUAGGUGCUGCAUACAAUUCACUGCUUCCCAGGUCUUCAGCAAAACCAGGAAUCAAUUAAAAUCACAGCUGCUUUGGAGUUCAUGGCAGGCACUUCAACAAUAUAGCCUAAAUAAAGGACUUUUAUACCUGCUGAACAGAAUUUACCAAUCAGAUUUCAUCCCUACAACUGCAACCAGUUUACAAGCAUAUAAAGAAAAGUACAUGUCAGGCAUGUGAGGAAAGGGAGAUGGAUCUUGCCUUGGAUGAUGCUUUCUCCAAAAUGAUGUCAAAUUGAUGGGUCUGCAGUUCCCUAGAGUGGCCAUUAUAAAUAUCAGUACUACAGUGAAAUGCUUCCAGUCUUCUGGAACCUCAUUUGAACUAAGGAAGUUCUCCAUAAUGAUCAUUAAUGAUGUAUUGCUUGCAUAUAA
This is a long non-coding RNA of Mauremys mutica (yellowpond turtle), 599 nucleotides long. RefSeq lists it as uncharacterized. The transcript is spliced from 5 exons. NCBI's taxonomy places the organism in Eukaryota, Metazoa, Chordata, Testudines, Geoemydidae. The record is from RefSeq and is a predicted model, not a curated record.